The sequence is a transfer RNA, 73 nucleotides long. It matches the Rfam family "tRNA". From Rfam's summary of the family: Transfer RNA (tRNA) molecules are approximately 80 nucleotides in length. The record is from Rfam.
GCUCGCAUAGCUUAGUCGGUAGAGCGUUGUGCUAAUAACGCAAAGGCCGCAGGUUCGAUCCCUGCUGUGAGCA